UACGAACUGUGCGAACGUUAUUCGGAAUCACUGGGCUUACAGGGUGCGUAGGCGGCGAUGCAAGUCAGGUGUGAAAGCCCACGGCUCAACCGUGGAACAGCGCUUGAAACUGCAUUGCUGGAGUGAGCUAGAGGUAUGCGGAACUUCCGGUGGAGCGGUGAAAUGUGUUGAUAUCGGAAGGAACACCAGAGGCGAAAGCGGCAUACUGGAGCUUGUCUGACGCUGAGGCAAGAAAGCCAGGGGAGCAAACGGG
RNAcentral lists this ribosomal RNA (253 nucleotides) under uncultured bacterium. RNAcentral's name for it is "partial 16S ribosomal RNA". It matches the Rfam family "Bacterial small subunit ribosomal RNA", at positions 524 to 776 of the family's 1533-position model. The record is from RNAcentral.